This 271-nucleotide unclassified non-coding RNA is filed under the name uncultured fungus. RNAcentral's name for it is "sequence contains ITS1". Lineage: Eukaryota; Fungi. The record is from RNAcentral.
GUAUAAGGUUUAUAGGCACUGGGGCCCAAUUAUACAUUCUGUUACAUACUAGGUGUAUAUGAAAAAACGUAGGCUUGGAAGUGCAAAGAAAGCCGACGCAGAGAGCGCAGCAUUCCUCCCGACCGAGCUGCCUCGGAAAGUCUAUCCAGGUCUACAAGAGGUGCACAGGUGGAGAUGAGGAUGGCGGGUGUGCACGUGCCCCCGAGAGGGCCAGCAACAACCACACCAAGUUCAUUCAAUAAUGAUCCUUCCGCAGGUUCACCUACGGAAA